GGCGUGUACUGCUUGGGCUGGGCCUUACUUCUUGGUGAGCCGGCGUGCCCUUUAUUGGUGUGCGUCGGGGAACCAGGACUUUUACCUUGAGAAAAUUAGAGUGUUCAAAGCAGGCCUAUGCCUGAAUACAUUAGCAUGGAAUAAUAGAAUAGGACGUGCGGUUCUAUUUUGUUGGUUUCUAGAGUCGCCGUAAUGAUUAAUAGGGACAGUUGGGGGCAUUGGUAUUGAGUCGCUAGAGGUGAAAUUCUUGGAUUGACUCAAGACCGACUAUUGCGAAAGCAUUUGCCAAGGAUGUUUUCAUUAAUCAAGAACGAAGGUUAGGGGAUCGAAAACGAUCAGAUACCGUUGUAGUCUUAACAGUAAACUAUGCCGACUAGGGAUCGGAUGACCUCAAAAUUGAUGUGUCAUUCGGCACCUUACGAGAAAUCAAAGUCUUUGGGUUCUGGGGAGAGUAUGGUCGCAAGGCUGAAACUUAAAGGAAUUGACGGAAGGGCACCACCAGGUGUGGAGCCUGCGGCUUAAUUUGACUCAACACGGGGAAACUCACCAGGUCCAGACAUAACUAGGAUUGACAGAUUGAUAGCUCUUUCAUGAUUUUAUGGGUGGUGGUGCAUGGCCGUUCUUAGUUGGUGGAGUGAUUUGUCUGGUUAAUUCCGAUAACGAACGAGACCUUAACCUGCUAAAUAGCCAGGCCGGCUUCGGCUGGUCUCUGGCUUCUUAGAGGGACUGUCAG
Molecule: ribosomal RNA, 733 nt
Filed under: uncultured eukaryote
Lineage: Eukaryota
Description: SSU rRNA
Rfam family: Eukaryotic small subunit ribosomal RNA
Source: RNAcentral